Molecule: ribosomal RNA, 477 nt
Filed under: uncultured bacterium
Lineage: Bacteria
Description: bacterial SSU rRNA
Rfam family: Bacterial small subunit ribosomal RNA
Source: RNAcentral
ACUCCUACGGGAGGCAGCAGUGGGGAAUAUUGCACAAUGGGCGCAAGCCUGAUGCAGCCAUGCCGCGUGUGUGAAGAAGGCCUUCGGGUUGUAAAGCACUUUCAGUUGUGAGGAAGGUGGUGUCGUUAAUAGCGGCAUCAUUUGACGUUAGCAACAGAAGAAGCACCGGCUAACUCCGUGCCAGCAGCCGCGGUAAUACGGAGGGUGCGAGCGUUAAUCGGAAUUACUGGGCGUAAAGCGCAUGCAGGUGGUUUGUUAAGUCAGAUGUGAAAGCCCGGGGCGUCAACCUCGGAACUGCAUUUGAAACUGGCAGACUAGAGUACUGUAGAGGGGGGUAGAAUUUCAGGUGUAGCGGUGAAAUGCGUAGAGAUCUGAAGGAAUACCGGUGGCGAAGGCGGCCCCCUGGACAGAUACUGACACUCAGAUGCGAAAGCGUGGGGAGCAAACAGGAUUUGAUACCCCUGGGUAGCACAGGAG